RNAcentral lists this ribosomal RNA (253 nucleotides) under uncultured bacterium. Its description in RNAcentral is "partial 16S ribosomal RNA". It matches the Rfam family "Bacterial small subunit ribosomal RNA", at positions 524 to 776 of the family's 1533-position model. The record is from RNAcentral.
UACGUAGGGUGCGAGCGUUGUCCGGAAUUAUUGGGCGUAAAGAGCUCGUAGGCGGUUUGUUGCGUCUAUCGUGAAAACCUGCGGCUUAACUGUGGGCUUGCGGUGGAUACGGGCAGACUUGAGUUCGGUAGGGGAGACUGGAAUUCCUGGUGUAGCGGUGAAAUGCGCAGAUAUCAGGAGGAACACCGGUGGCGAAGGCGGGUCUCUGGGCCGAUACUGACGCUGAGGAGCGAAAGCGUGGGGAGCGAGCAGG